RNAcentral lists this ribosomal RNA (451 nucleotides) under uncultured bacterium. RNAcentral describes it as "bacterial SSU rRNA". It matches the Rfam family "Bacterial small subunit ribosomal RNA", at positions 354 to 796 of the family's 1533-position model. The record is from RNAcentral.
GUGGGGAAUAUUGCGCAAUGGGCGAAAGCCUGACGCAGCAACGCCGUGUGAGGGAUGAAGGCUUUCGGGUCGUAAACCUCUGUCGGAAGGGAAGAACGGGUGAGGGUCUAAUAGGCCUUCAUUUUGACGGUACCUUUAGAGGAAGCACCGGCUAACUCCGUGCCAGCAGCCGCGGUAAUACGGAGGGUGCAAGCGUUAUUCGGAAUUACUGGGCGUAAAGCGCACGUAGGCCGCUUUGUAAGUCAGGGGUGAAAUCCCACGGCUCAACCGUGGAACUGCCCUUGAAACUGCAGAGCUUGAAUCCUGGAGAGGGUGGCGGAAUUCCUGGUGUAGGAGUGAAAUCCGUAGAUAUCAGGAGGAACACCGGUGGCGAAGGCGGCCACCUGGACAGGCAUUGACGCUGAGGUGCGAAAGUGUGGGGAGCAAACAGGAUUAGAAACCCCAGUAGUCC